AGCCAUGCAAGUCUCAGUACGAGCUGUAUUAAAGUGAAACCGCAAAAGGCUCAGUAAACCGGUCAUAGUUUACCGGAUAUAUGCCACUUAGGUGGAUAACUGUGGUAAUUCUAGAGCUAAUACAUGCAACCAAGUCCCGACCAGCGAUGGAAAGGACGCUUUUAUUGGAUCAAAACCAUUCGCCCCGGUCCGCCGGGGCGUCUGCUUGAUGACUCUAGAUAACACCACAGAUCGCACGGUCACAGUACCGGCGACGUAUCCGUCAAAUGUCUGACUUAUCAGCUGUCGAUGGUAGACUCUGUGUCUACCAUGGCGCUCACGGGUAACGGGGAAUCAGGGUUCGAUUCCGGAGAGGGAGCCUGAGAAACGGCUACCACAUCCAAGGAAGGCAGCAGGCACGCAAAUUACCCACUCCCGGCACGGGGAGGUAGUGACAAAAAAUAACGAUACGGGACUCAUCCGAGGCCCCGUAAUCGGAAUGAGAACACCCUAAAUCCUUUAACGAGGAUCUAUUGGAGGGCAAGUCUGGUGCCAGCAGCCGCGGUAAUUCCAGCUCCAAUAGCGUAUAUUAAAGUUGUUGCGGUUAAAAAGCUCGUAGUUGGUUCUGCGUGCCACGCUGUCGGUUCACCGCCUGUCGGUGCAACUGGCAUGCCGUGGCAUGUCCUGUCGGUGGCCGACAGGCUUCGCGGCGCGCCCUAUUCGUUCACACGUGUAGGUCGUCGCGCCGAGUUGUCCUCGUAGGCCGGCUCAAUCCUACCGCGGUGCUCUUUACCGAGUGUCGAGGUAGGCCGACACUGUUUACUUUGAACAAAUUAGAGUGCUUAAAGCAGGCUCUGAAAGCAGCCUGAAUAGUGGUGCAUGGAAUAAUGGAACAGGACCUUGGUUCUAUUUUGUUGGUUUUCUGAAUCCAAGGUAAUGAUCAAUAAGGACAGGCGGGGGCAUUCGUAUUGCGACGUUAGAGGUGAAAUUCUUGGAUCGUCGCAAGACGCACUAGAGCGAAAGCAUUUGCCAAGUAUGUCUUAAUUGAUCAAGAACGAAAGUUAGAGGUUCGAAGGCGAUCAGAUACCGCCCUAGUUCUAACCAUAAACGAUGCCAGCCAGCGAUCCGCCGAUGUUCCUCCGAUGACUCGGCGGGGAGCUUUCCCCGGGAAACCAAAGCUUUUGGGUUCCGGGGGAAGUAUGGUUGCAAAGCUGAAACUUAAAGGAAUUGACGGAAGGGCACCACCAGGAGUGGAGCCUGCGGCUUAAUUUGACUCAACACGGGAAACCUCACCAGGCCCGGACAUUGGAAGGAUUGACAGAUCGAUAGCUCUUUCUCGAUUCAGUGGGUAGUGGUGCAUGGCCGUUCUUAGUUGGUGGACUGAUUUGUCUGGUUAAUUCCGAUAACGAACGAGACUCUGACCUAUUAACUAGGCGCUCCCGGUAUAAAUGCCUACCGGCGAGAUU
RNAcentral lists this ribosomal RNA (1445 nucleotides) under Megacopta cribraria (bean plataspid). RNAcentral describes it as "SSU rRNA". It matches the Rfam family "Eukaryotic small subunit ribosomal RNA", at positions 47 to 1391 of the family's 1831-position model. The record is from RNAcentral. Lineage: Eukaryota; Metazoa; Arthropoda; Insecta; Hemiptera; Plataspidae.